GACGAACGCUGGCGGCGUGCUUAACACAUGCAAGUCGAACGGAAAGCCUCUUUCGGGGGGUACUCGAGUGGCGAACGGGUGAGUAACACGUGAGUAACCUGCCCUUGACUUUGGGAUAACUUCAGGAAACUGGGGCUAAUACCGGAUAGGAGCUCCUGCUGCAUGGUGGGGGUUGGAAAGUUUCGGCGGUUGGGGAUGGACUCGCGGCUUAUCAGCUUGUUGGUGGGGUAGUGGCUUACCAAGGCUUUGACGGGUAGCCGGCCUGAGAGGGUGACCGGCCACAUUGGGACUGAGAUACGGCCCAGACUCCUACGGGAGGCAGCAGUGGGGAAUAUUGCACAAUGGGUGGAAGCCGGAUGCAGCAACGCCGUGUGCGGGAUGACGGCCUUCGGGUUGUAAACCGCUUUCGCUCAUGACGAAGCUUUGUGUGACGGUAGUGGGUAAAGAAGCACCGGCUAACUACGUG
This 466-nucleotide ribosomal RNA is filed under the name uncultured bacterium. RNAcentral describes it as "partial 16S ribosomal RNA". It matches the Rfam family "Bacterial small subunit ribosomal RNA", at positions 28 to 507 of the family's 1533-position model. The record is from RNAcentral.